Molecule: long non-coding RNA, 804 nt
Organism: Corticium candelabrum
Lineage: Eukaryota; Metazoa; Porifera; Homoscleromorpha; Homosclerophorida; Plakinidae
Exons: 3
Source: RefSeq, a predicted model, not a curated record
CACAAUAAUUCCAUUGUAGAAAUAAGCCCAGGCAUGUUUUCCUGCCAACGGCUCCACUGUUGACUCUCUUUCUCAUCUGAAGAGUUGGGGAAGCGCCAUGAAGAACACCACAGAAAGGUCACUGGACCUGGUAUUCAUGAGGUUGCUGGUGGUUCUGCAAAUGAAGAGACAGUCCCAACUCAUGACCUGCAGAAGUUAGACACGAGAUGUCGUGAGUGCUCCAAAAUAUUCAAGACUAGACAAACAUUGAACCGCCACCGUAGAAAGACACACAACGCAGAGUAUGAGAAGGCUGUGUGGCACCACUGUUUCAUUGAAGGCAGCAGUCAAAACUUUAUCCAAGUGAAAUCUCUAUCACAACACCUGGACUUUCAUCACAAGAUUGACAUGGAUAUUCAGGAACUAGAAUUUUCUAUCAUGAAGGAGUUUGAGUCCUGGAAGGAAGCGGAAGAGAGCAACUUUCACCUACUUUAGAACUGAGAGAGGAGCAACAGCUCGUAAGACCCAGAAGGACAACACUGGGUCUGACAGCAGUGUGUGUGCAACCGAAAACCCAGGUACAUCUACGGUGAACUUUCUAUCAAGUGUAAUCUGCACAAUAUCUAUAUCUGUGUAUUUAUCUAUAUUUAUAUUACAUUUCUAUAGCUAUCUAUAGGUAUAUGUAUCUAUCUAUCUAGGCGUGUCCAAGCACGCCCACAUUAGUUUCUUAAGUUAGAGUUUAGGUUUGAGUUUAGUUGACAUUUUAUGUAGUUUGCCGUAUCUAUCGAAUGUCAUUGUACUAGAGAAUUGGAUAUAUCUAAUAAA